AAGUCGUAACAAGGUCUCCGUUGGUGAACCAGCGGAGGGAUCAUUACAGAGUUGCAAAACUCCCAAUCAUUGUGAACCUACCUCACCGUUGCUUCGGCGGGUGGCCUGCUAACGCGGCGCCGCGCCGGCUCCACCUUCGGGGGUGCCCGGCAACCCGUCAGAGGACCGAACCUCUUAGUCAUCUUGGCCUCUCUGAGUAACUUAUACAAUAAGUCAAAACUUUCAACAACGGAUCUCUUGGUUCUG
RNAcentral lists this unclassified non-coding RNA (246 nucleotides) under Schizothecium sp. Its description in RNAcentral is "partial internal transcribed spacer region". The stretch from base 1 to 46 matches the Rfam family "Eukaryotic small subunit ribosomal RNA", at positions 1786 to 1831 of the family's 1831-position model. The record is from RNAcentral. Lineage: Eukaryota; Fungi; Ascomycota; Sordariomycetes; Sordariales; Schizotheciaceae.